RNAcentral lists this ribosomal RNA (369 nucleotides) under uncultured bacterium. RNAcentral describes it as "bacterial SSU rRNA". It matches the Rfam family "Bacterial small subunit ribosomal RNA", at positions 527 to 896 of the family's 1533-position model. The record is from RNAcentral.
GAAGGGGGCUAGCGUUGCUCGGAAUUACUGGGCGUAAAGGGCGCGUAGGCGGACAGUUUAGUCAGAGGUGAAAGCCCAGGGCUCAACCUUGGAAUUGCCUUUGAUACUGGCUGUCUUGAGUUCGGGAGAGGUGAGUGGAAUGCCGAGUGUAGAGGUGAAAUUCGUAGAUAUUCGGCGGAACACCAGUGGCGAAGGCGACUCACUGGCCCGAUACUGACGCUGAGGCGCGAAAGCGUGGGGAGCAAACAGGAUUAGAUACCCUGGUAGUCCACGCCGUAAACGAUGAGUGCUAGUUGUCGGCAUGCAUGCAUGUCGGUGACGCAGCUAACGCAUUAAGCACUCCGCCUGGGGAGUACGGUCGCAAGAUUA